Molecule: ribosomal RNA, 1190 nt
Filed under: Enterococcus faecalis
Lineage: Bacteria; Bacillati; Bacillota; Bacilli; Lactobacillales; Enterococcaceae
Description: partial 23S ribosomal RNA
Rfam family: Bacterial large subunit ribosomal RNA
Source: RNAcentral
AGUACGGCGGAACACGAGAAAUUCCGUCGGAAUCCGCGGGGACCAUCCCGCAAGGCUAAAUACUCCCUAGUGACCGAUAGUGAACCAGUACCGUGAGGGAAAGGUGAAAAGCACCCCGGAAGGGGAGUGAAAUAGAUCCUGAAACCGUGUGCCUACAACAAGUCAAAGCUCGUUAAUGAGUGAUGGCGUGCCUUUUGUAGAAUGAACCGGCGAGUUACGAUUGCAUGCGAGGUUAAGUCGAAGAGACGGAGCCGCAGCGAAAGCGAGUCUGAAUAGGGCGAAUGAGUAUGUAGUCGUAGACCCGAAACCAUGUGAUCUACCCAUGUCCAGGUUGAAGGUGCGGUAAAACGCACUGGAGGACCGAACCCACGUACGUUGAAAAGUGCGGGGAUGAGGUGUGGGUAGCGGAGAAAUUCCAAACGAACUUGGAGAUAGCUGGUUCUCUCCGAAAUAGCUUUAGGGCUAGCCUCGGAAUUGAGAAUGAUGGAGGUAGAGCACUGUUUGGACUAGGGGCCCAUCUCGGGUUACCGAAUUCAGAUAAACUCCGAAUGCCAUUCAUUUAUAUCCGGGAGUCAGACUGCGAGUGAUAAGAUCCGUAGUCGAAAGGGAAACAGCCCAGACCACCAGCUAAGGUCCCAAAAUAUAUGUUAAGUGGAAAAGGAUGUGGGGUUGCACAGACAACUAGGAUGUUGGCUUAGAAGCAGCCACCAUUUAAAGAGUGCGUAAUAGCUCACUAGUCGAGUGACCCUGCGCCGAAAAUGUACCGGGGCUAAACAUAUUACCGAAGCUGUGGACUACACCAUUAGGUGUAGUGGUAGGAGAGCGUUCUAAGGGCGUUGAAGGUCGAUCGUGAGGACGGCUGGAGCGCUUAGAAGUGAGAAUGCCGGUAUGAGUAGCGAAAGACAGGUGAGAAUCCUGUCCACCGUAUGACUAAGGUUUCCUGGGGAAGGCUCGUCCGCCCAGGGUUAGUCGGGACCUAAGCCGAGGCCGAUAGGCGUAGGCGAUGGACAACAGGUUGAUAUUCCUGUACCAGUUGUUUUUGUUUGAGCAAUGGAGGGACGCAGUAGGCUAAGGAAUGCAUGCGAUUGGAAGUGCAUGUCCAAGCAAUGAGUCUUGAGUAGAGUUAAAUGCUUUACUCUUUAAGGACAAGUUGUGACGGGGAGCGAAAUAAUAGUAGCGAAGUUCCUGAU